Molecule: ribosomal RNA, 433 nt
Filed under: uncultured bacterium
Lineage: Bacteria
Description: partial 16S ribosomal RNA
Rfam family: Bacterial small subunit ribosomal RNA
Source: RNAcentral
AACGAACGCUGGCGGCAUGCCUAACACAUGCAAGUCGAACGAGACCUUCGGGUCUAGUGGCGCACGGGUGCGUAACGCGUGGGAACCUGCCCUUAGGUUCGGAAUAACUCCCCGAAAGGGGUGCUAAUACCGGAUAAUGUCUUCGGACCAAAGAUUUAUCGCCUUUGGAUGGGCCCGCGUUGGAUUAGCUAGUUGGUAGGGUAAAAGCCUACCAAGGCGACGAUCCAUAGCUGGUCUGAGAGGAUGAUCAGCCACACUGGGACUGAGACACGGCCCAGACUCGUACGGGAGGCAGCAGUGGGGAAUAUUGGACAAUGGGCGAAAGCCUGAUCCAGCAAUGCCGCGUGAGUGAUGAAGGCCUUAGGGUUGUAAAGCUCUUUUACCCGGGAUGAUAAUGACAGUACCGGGAGAAUAAGCGCCGGCUAACUCCGUG